GUAGGGGUGCGAGCGUUAUCCGGAAUCAUUGGGCGUAAAGAGCUCGUAGGGCGGUUCAGCAAGUCGGCUGUGAAAUUCCGAGGCUCAACCUCGGAACUGCAGUCGAUACUGUUGUGACUCGAGUCCGGUAGAGGAGAAUGGAAUUCCCGGUGUAGCGGUGAAAUGCGCAGAUAUCGGGAGGAACACCAGUAGCGAAGGCGGUUCUCUGGGCCGGCACUGGCGCUGAGGAGCGAAAGCGUGGGUAGCAAACAGGAUUAGAUACCCUGGUAGUCCACGCCGUAAACGUUGGAUACUAGGUGUGGGGUUCCGACCAACGGUCCCCGUGCCGAAGCUAACGCAUUAAGUAUCCCGCCUGGGGAGUACGGCCGCAAAGGCUA
This 377-nucleotide ribosomal RNA is filed under the name uncultured organism. RNAcentral's name for it is "partial 16S ribosomal RNA". It matches the Rfam family "Bacterial small subunit ribosomal RNA", at positions 526 to 896 of the family's 1533-position model. The record is from RNAcentral.